UACGUAGGGUGCGAGCGUUGUCCGGAAUUAUUGGGCGUAAAGAGCUCGUAGGCGGCUUGUCGCGUCGGAUGUGAAAGCCCGGGGCUUAACUCCGGGUCUGCAUUCGAUACGGGCAGGCUAGAGUUCGGUAGGGGAGAUCGGAAUUCCUGGUGUAGCGGUGAAAUGCGCAGAUAGCAGGAGGAACACCGGUGGCGAAGGCGGGUCUCUGGGCCGAUACUGACGCUGAGGAGCGAAAGCGUGGGGAGCGAACAGG
Molecule: ribosomal RNA, 253 nt
Filed under: uncultured bacterium
Lineage: Bacteria
Description: partial 16S ribosomal RNA
Rfam family: Bacterial small subunit ribosomal RNA
Source: RNAcentral